RNAcentral lists this long non-coding RNA (329 nucleotides) under Mytilus galloprovincialis (Mediterranean mussel). Lineage: Eukaryota; Metazoa; Mollusca; Bivalvia; Mytilida; Mytilidae. The record is from RNAcentral.
AUAUAUAUAUUCGCAUUCUGACUUUUUCUAAAUGCCCACUUAAUGAGGUGUGUGAAUUUUUCUUAAUAAGACUAAGAGGCAAAGUGGUCAGUAUAUAGGGUAGAAAAAUCAAAAGCACCAAUCAAAAAAGCAUGCAAUUUAUCAAGUACCUCGAACCAAUUUUGACACUCCAAAAGUAACUUAUUAUUUUCAAAGGCUAUUUUUUUUAUCAGGCUAUUGAUUGGACCAAGUGUACUAGUAAGUAGAAUACAUAGUUUAGUAGGGGAGCAAUGGCUUGAAGACGAAAUAAAUCUUUGUUUGUAAUGAGCUAUGUGCUGCUUUGGGACCCA